Aegilops tauschii subsp. strangulata is the source of this 1936-nucleotide long non-coding RNA. RefSeq lists it as uncharacterized. Lineage: Eukaryota; Viridiplantae; Streptophyta; Magnoliopsida; Poales; Poaceae. The record is from RefSeq and is a predicted model, not a curated record.
UUUGGAUCAAUCUGCUAUUACACUUUUUUUAAUCAAUUUGCUACUAUACUUCUUAGUACAUGCUCUAGGUAUGACUGCGAUCUGGUGGUAACCACACCAAUUUUGAAAGAGAUAAGGACAUACCAGUUGUCUGUUCUAGAAAUAGCAACAAGCAGCCAACCAAACAGUUACUUUUUCUUUUUGACAUCUAACCAAACAGCUACUCCCUCCGUUCAAAAAUUUAAAAACGUUUUUAACAUUACUGUAGUGUCAAAAGCGUUUUUAUAUUACGGGACGGAGGGAGUACCUUGCAUCUACUGGCCGCAAAGAGGAUUUGCAGGCAAUCAAACAAACUGGCACCUGGGUACGCAGCCGUGCAAGGCAGUUUUUUUUUUUUUUUUUUUUUGAGGAUGCGCAUUUUUCUUUUUUUGAGGAUGUUUUUUUUCAGGUGAGGAUAAUUCUGAGGAUGUUUUCCCCGCAGGGGCUUGCCCCAGGGACCCCAAAAUCGAACCAGCUUACCAAACACGCCUCGUUCUAAAGGAAAAAAAAACACGUCCAGUUGGACACGGUCACGGCGGCGUCCGGCCGGCGGCACAGGGAGUCAGGGAGGCGUGUCGGGAUCGAUGAUACCCCCUCUCUCCCCCGCCGCCUCCUUUCUCUCCCGUGCGCCGCUCUCCACCCCGAUCCAGAUCGAGCCGCCGGCCAACCUCACCCCAGCUCAGCCUCGCUGGCGACAACCCCCCCUCCACCGCCGGUAGACCUCCCCAAAGCCGGCUCUCCUCCCCGCCGACCCAGUGCGCCCCCGGACCCAAAACCCUAGCGAACUGCAGCAGGAGGAGAUUCCUGCUCUGGCGCCGCCGCGGGGCCUCAUGGCGCAGUCCCAUGACCUGGUGUUCGCCUUCGCCUCCCUCCUGCACCGGCUGGUGACCGUGCUCCCUCUCCCGCGCGGCGGCCUCGCUGCUCCGACGAGCCCAAGCUCCGCUUCCUCGUCUCCAUUAAAGGUCACGGUGCUGUUUCGGCGGCGGUGGUGUUCCAGCACUGGUGGUGCCUUCCGGUGGUAGUCUGUCUACCGGAGCUCCUGCUGCCGCUCUUCUCCGACGACUCGGUGGUUGGGCUGCUGAUUUUGGUCAGGCCACGGUGGUUUUCCUGUGGUGUUCCAGUAGUGGUGGUGUCCACCGGAGCUCCUGCCGCACCUUGUUGAGCUCCGUCAACGGCUACGUCAUCAAGGUCGUGUUCCUGUUCUGACAUCCCUAGCUGCAACUUUGAUUUCAGAAAUAAAUAGGUCGACAGUUAUUUAUUGUGUACGUAUUGUAUAAGUCUUUAUCUUUACCUAAUAAUAAAGGGUUGAACGCUUCUUCCUCCUUAAAUUUUCGUACGUAAUUAGUUACAUGUGAUUCGGUUUGUCCGUCCGUCGUCCUUUCAUUCUUCUUCGUAUAUAUCUGGUUCCUUCGCUCCAAUGGAAUCGAAGCCAACCAAACAAGCACCAAUGACUCUAGCCCAACUAGACCAACCGAACGAACCCGCCUGCGCACUAUAGCCCAAUUAAACCGGCCCACCUAUCCCAGUUGAGGCAAAAAAUACUUGCUUCCUGCGCACUAUAGCCCAAUUAAACCGGCCCAUCUAUCCCAGUUGAGGCAAAAAAUACUUGCUGGUGAGCAGACUCGAACCCAAAACCUGAAGACCGGCACAUAACGGCGCGACAAACCAAGCCAGCCUUUGUUGUUGGUUAAAUCGAAGAUUGAUUCGUAUAAUACAUAGUCUCACCUCGCUGUCUCACAUCCAAUCCACUCAAUUUAUAUACGCUUUUGUGUUUCUUGGGUGUCAGGAAGCCGCGUCGGAGAUCAUUACAGAAAAUUAAGGAAGGAAUGAGAAGCUAAUUAAUUGGAAAGCGAGGCAAUAUUAGCCUUCCAUACUGAUGUGGGCUACUAAACGGGACUUGAGGUGAAAAAAAAGGAAA